GGUUAUGGCUUACUGGUAGAGUGCUCGCCUUGCAUGUGCAGGGCCCUGGGUUCGAUCCUCAGCACCA
RNAcentral lists this transfer RNA (67 nucleotides) under Marmota monax (woodchuck). Its description in RNAcentral is "tRNA.Ala". The record is from RNAcentral. Lineage: Eukaryota; Metazoa; Chordata; Mammalia; Rodentia; Sciuridae.